This 729-nucleotide ribosomal RNA is filed under the name uncultured euryarchaeote. RNAcentral's name for it is "bacterial SSU rRNA". It matches the Rfam family "Archaeal small subunit ribosomal RNA", at positions 8 to 737 of the family's 1478-position model. The record is from RNAcentral. Lineage: Archaea; Methanobacteriati; Methanobacteriota.
UUGAUCCCGCCGGAGGCCAUUGCUAUCGGGGUCCGACUUAGCCAUGCUAGUUGCACGGGUUCAGACCCGUAGCGAACAGCUCAGUAACACGUGGCCAAACUACCCUCUGGACGCGGACACCCUCGGGAAACUGAGGCUAAUCCGCGAUACGGCUCUCACGCUGGAAUGCGGGGAGCCGGAAAGGCUCCGGCGCCAGAGGAUGUGGCUGCGGCCGAUUAGGUAGACGGUGGGGUAACGGCCCACCGUGCCCAUAAUCGGUACGGGAUGUGAGAGCAAAUAGCCCGGAGAUGGAUUCUGAGACAAGAAUCCAGGCCCUACGGGGCGCAGCAGGCGCGAAACCUUUACACUGCACGCCAGUGCGAUAAGGGGACCCCGAGUGCGAGGGCAUACAGUCCUCGCUUUUGUACACCGUAAGGAGGUGUACGAAUAAGGGCUGGGCAAGACCGGUGCCAGCCGCCGCGGUAAUACCGGCAGCCCGAGUGAUGGCCGCUGUUAUUGGGCCUAAAGCGUCCGUAGCCGGCCGAACAAGUCUGUCGGGAAAUCCAUCCGCCUAACGGAUGGGCGUCCGGCAGAAACUGUUCGGCUUGGGGCCGGAAGAUCCGAGGGGUACGUCCGGGGUAGGAGUGAAAUCCCGUAAUCCUGGACGGACCGCCGGUGGCGAAAGCGCCUCGGAAGGACGGACCCGACGGUGAGGGACGAAAGCUGGGGUCUCGAACCGGAUUAGAUACC